This 253-nucleotide ribosomal RNA is filed under the name uncultured bacterium. Its description in RNAcentral is "partial 16S ribosomal RNA". It matches the Rfam family "Bacterial small subunit ribosomal RNA", at positions 524 to 776 of the family's 1533-position model. The record is from RNAcentral.
UACAGAGGUCCCAAGCGUUGUUCGGAUUCAUUGGGCGUAAAGGGUGUGUAGGCGGCGCCGUAAGUCGGGCGUGAAAUUUCGGAGCUUAACUCCGAGACUGCAUUCGAUACUGCGGUGCUUGAGGACUGGAGAGGAGAGUGGAAUUCAUGGUGUAGCAGUGAAAUGCGUAGAGAUCAUGAGGAAGACCAGUGGCGAAGGCGGGUCUCUGGACAGUUCCUGACACUGAGGCACGAAGGCCAGGGGAGCAAACGGG